GUAAGGAGGUUCUGCAUCCAGGGGGAUGGAACAGGAGUGCCUUGGUUUUUAGGCUAGCACAUGACUGGAACCCCAAAGGGAACGGGGCUGAACUCAGGAAAGAUGCUGGAGUGGGACCUCUGUGACUGAUUGGUUCAGGUUUGUUCUUUAUGCAUAGGGGAUCCUCCUGUUGUUUAACCUCUCCUCACCCCAACAUGCCCCAUGGUUGUGGAGUGGCUUACUUAAGACGGGGGAAGAUUAUGAUGAAACUACUGCUUUCCCUUUUAUGACCCCAAUCCAGUUUCUGCCAGCUAUUCUAAUAUACAUGGAGGGGAGUACCUAAUCCAAGAUCACUAUCAUAUACAUGGAGCUCUCCCCUACACCACUGCAGGAUCUUGCAGAAAUAUGGGGCCUUUACAAUGAUUGUAAUAAACUGUGUCAUCC
This is a long non-coding RNA of Mauremys reevesii (Reeves's turtle), 423 nucleotides long. RefSeq lists it as uncharacterized. The record is from RefSeq and is a predicted model, not a curated record. The transcript is spliced from 3 exons. Lineage: Eukaryota; Metazoa; Chordata; Testudines; Geoemydidae.